AACCUUAUGGACCUGCGGGCGUAUACCUGCGGAAGGAUCAUUAAAAAGAGUGUGUACCCCUCUGUAAAAUGAGUGGGUUACCUCCCGUCCUUUGUUGACCUCUUAGGAGGUUAUUUUGAACUUUCUGCUUCGGUGGGGUUAAACCUACCGGAACACCCUCAAAUUCUUAUCAUUUAAAAAUUGUUCAGUCUGAUUUUUGUUAAUAAAAACAAAAAACUUUUAGCAACGGAUCUCAGAUCG
This 240-nucleotide unclassified non-coding RNA is filed under the name soil metagenome. RNAcentral describes it as "partial contains 5.8S ribosomal RNA, internal transcribed spacer 2, and large subunit ribosomal RNA". The record is from RNAcentral.